GUCCACGCUGUAAACGUUGGGCACUAGGUGUGGCGACCCGAUCAACGGUUGCCGUGCCGAAGCUAACGCAUUAAGUGCCUCGCCUGGGGAGUACGGCCGCAAGGCUAAAACUCAAAGGAAUUGACGGGUCCCCCGCACAAGCGGCGGAGCAUGCGGCUUAAUUCGAUGCGACCCGAAGAACCUUACCUGGGUUUGACAUCAUGGGAAAAGCCGUAGAGAUACGGUGUCCGAAAGGGCCCAUGACAGGUGGUGCAUGGCUGUCGU
Molecule: ribosomal RNA, 264 nt
Filed under: uncultured bacterium
Lineage: Bacteria
Description: partial 16S ribosomal RNA
Rfam family: Bacterial small subunit ribosomal RNA
Source: RNAcentral